This 253-nucleotide ribosomal RNA is filed under the name uncultured bacterium. RNAcentral's name for it is "partial 16S ribosomal RNA". It matches the Rfam family "Bacterial small subunit ribosomal RNA", at positions 524 to 776 of the family's 1533-position model. The record is from RNAcentral.
UACAGAGGUCCCAAGCGUUGUUCGGAUUCACUGGGCGUAAAGGGUGCGUAGGCGGUCGGGUAAGUCUGAUGUGAAAUCUCACAGCUUAACUGUGAAACUGCAUUGGAUACUAUUCGGCUAGAGAGUUGGAGGGGAGACUGGAAUUCUUGGUGUAGCAGUGAAAUGCGUAGAUAUCAAGAGGAACACCAGUGGCGAAGGCGAGUCCCUGGACAACUUCUGACGCUGAGGCACGAAAGCUAGGGGAGCAAACAGG